Otolemur garnettii (small-eared galago) is the source of this 687-nucleotide long non-coding RNA. RefSeq lists it as uncharacterized. The transcript has 4 exons. Lineage: Eukaryota; Metazoa; Chordata; Mammalia; Primates; Galagidae. The record is from RefSeq and is a predicted model, not a curated record.
CAGGACAGACCUGGGGACUAAGCACACCCAGGAGGCUGCAGAACACAGAUGGCCUGAGCUUCUCCUUGAUCCUGAACUUUGAUGAUGGAGACAACCUGAGAAUCUCCUCCUGUGCCUCCCAGAGAUCCUGAUUCUGCAAGUCAAGGAGCUGGCACUGAAAAUGGGAAGUUUCAAAAAAUCCAGAAGCCCAUCCAUGUCACCCAAGUGCUGAAACUUCUGUGGAUGACCACAGAAGCCAGGUCAUCUCAUUCAUCCCUGAAAAUGCAGAAUUCUCUAUGCUGUUUGCCGACCACAUCCUGGAGCUAGAAAACACCCUCCAGGACUACGGGAUCAGAAACAAGUCCACCAUCCUCAUAGUGGUGCAUCUGCCCGGUGGGCACCAAGACACUACUCCUGCAGGACCAGAGCUGGGGACAUAGAGGCCCUGCCUAGGAGGGGACAACACUCUUCUGGAGAUCCUCAGUCCUGUGCCACUCAGUGGGGAGCAGACUGGGGGCAAUAAAUGAUCCUCAAAUGACCACCUGGGCUGUGCUCCUUCAUCUGGCGAGGAGGCACCUGACAGCGCCUACCCACAGGCGCCUCUUUGGCCUCAACUUAAUGACCCCCCCAAACUGGUUCACCUGUACCCCCACUGCUCCCUAAAAUGGACUCACAACAUCCCAGCUAAGUCUUUUCUGGGAGGGGACC